This 10407-nucleotide long non-coding RNA is filed under the name Xyrichtys novacula (pearly razorfish). The record is from RNAcentral. Lineage: Eukaryota; Metazoa; Chordata; Actinopteri; Labriformes; Labridae.
GAGCUGGAGUUGAACCAGGGACCUUUGGACCACAGCGUUUCAGGAACUUCUUACAGUCAUGUGCUCUACCAACUGAGCUAUGAAGGUGCUUAUAGAUGAAAACGCAGAAAACAUAGUGGCUUCGGCGACACACUUUGCCAAAACAACAAUCAAGCCACCUGGUCAAUGAAAAAGGAUGAACAGUGCAUAUACAAAUGAAAUCUGUUGCUUGGAGCUGGAGUUGAACCAGCGACCUUUGGACCACAGCGUUUCAGGAACUUCUUAAAGUCAUGUGCUCUACCAACUGAGCUAUGAAGGUGCUUAUAGAUAAAAACGCAGAAAACAUAGUGGCUUCGGCGACACACUUUGCCAAAACAACAAUCAAGCCACCUGGUCAAUGAAAAAGGUUGAACAGUGCAUAGACAAUUGAAAUCUGGUGUUUGGAGCAGGAGUUGAACCAGCGUCCUAUGGACCACAGCGUUUCAGGAACUUCUUAAAGUCAUGUGCUCUACCAACUGAGCUAUGAAGGUGCUUAUAGAUAAAAACGCAGAAAACAUAGUGGCUUCGGCGACACACUUUGCCAACACAACAAUGAAGCCACCUGGUCAAUGAAAAAGGAUGAACAGUGCAUAUACAAAUGAAAUCUGGUGCUUGGAGCUGGAGUUGAACCAGGGACCUUUGGACCACAGCGUUUCAGGAACUUCUUACAGUCAUGUGCUCUACCAACUGAGCUAUGAAGGUGCUUAUAGAUGAAAACGCAGAAAACAUAGUGGCUUCGGCGACACACUUUGCCAACACAACAAUCAAGCCACCUGGUCAAUGAAAAAGGUUGAACAGUGCAUAGACCAAUGAAAUCUGGUGUUUGGAGCAGGAGUUGAACCAGCGACCUUUGAACCAGAGCGUUUCAAGAACUUCUUAAAGUCAUGUGCUCUACCAAAUGAGCUAUGAAGGUGCUUAUAGAUAAAAACGCAGAAAACAUAGUGGCUUCGGCGACACACUUUGCCAACAUAACUAUUGAACCAACAUGGUCAAUGAAAAAGGUUGAACAGUGCAUAGACCAAUGAAAUCUGGUGUUUGGAGCAGGAGUUGAACCAGCGUCCUUUGGACCACAGCGUUUCAGGAAAUUCUUAAAGUCAUGUGCUCUACCAACUGAGCUAUGAAGGUGCUUAUAGAUAAAAACGCAGAAAACAUAGUGGCUUCGGCGACACACUUUGCCAACAUAACUAUUGAACCAACAUGGUCAAUGAAAAAGGUUGAACAGUGCAUACACCAAUGAAAUCUGGUGUUUGGAGCUGGAGUUGAACCAGCGUCCUUUGGACCACAGCGUUUCAGGAACUUCUUAAAAUAAUGUGCUCUACCAACUGAGCUAUGAAGGUGCUUAUAGAUAAAAACGCAGAAAACAUAGUGGCUUCGGCGACACACUUUGCCAAAACAACAAUCAAGCCACCUGGUCAAUGAAAAAGGAUGAACAGUGCAUAUACAAAUGAAAUCUGGUGCUUGGAGCUGGAGUUGAACCAGCGACCUUUGGACCACAGCGUUUCAGGAACUUCUUAAAGUCAUGUGCUCUACCAACUGAGCUAUGAAGGUACUUAUAUAUAAAAUCGCAGAAAACAUAGUGGCUUCGGCGACACACUUUGCCAACAUAACUAUUGAACCAACAUGGUCAAUGAAAAAGGUUGAACAGUGCAUAGACCAAUGAAAUCUGGUGUUUGGAGCAGGAGUUGAACCAGCGACCUUUGGACCACAGCGUUUCAGGAACUUCUUAAAGUCAUGUGCUCUACCAACUGAGCUAUGAAGGUGCUUAUAGAUAAAAACGCAGAAAACAUAGUGGCUUCGGCGACACACUUUGCCAACACAACAAUCAAGCCACCUGGUCAAUGAAAAAGGAUGAACAGUGCAUAUACAAAUGAAAUCUGUUGCUCGGAGCUGGAGUUGAACCAGUGACCUUUGGACCACAGCGUUUCAGGAACUUCUUACAGUCAUGUGCUCUACCAAGUGAGCUAUGAAGGUGCUUAUAGAUGAAAACGCAGAAAACAUAGUGGCUUCGGCGACACACUUUGCCAACACAACGAUAAAGCCACCUGGUCAAUGAAAAAGGUUGAACAGUGCAUAGACCAAUGAAAUCUGGUGUUUGGAGCAGGAGUUGAACCAGCGACCUUUGAACCAGAGCGUUUCAAGAACUUCUUACAGUCAUGUGCUCUACCAAAUGAGCUAUGAAGGUGCUUAUAGAUAAAAACGCAGAAAACAUAGUGGCUUCGGCGACACACUUUGCCAACAUAACUAUUGAACCAACAUGGUCAAUGAAAAAGGUUGAACAGUGCAUAGACCAAUGAAAUCUGGUGUUUGGAGCAGGAGUUGAACCAGCGUCCUUUGGACCACAGCGUUUCAGGAACUUCUUAAAGUCAUGUGCUCUACCAACUGAGCUAUGAAGGUGCUUAUAGAUAAAAACGCAGAAAACAUAGUGGCUUCGGCGACACACUUUGCCAACAUAACUAUUGAACCAACAUGGUCAAUGAAAAAGGUUGAACAGUGCAUACACCAAUGAAAUCUGGUGUUUGGAGCUGGAGUUGAACCAGCGUCCUUUGGACCACAGCGUUUCAGGAACUUCUUAAAGUCAUGUGCUCUACCAACUGAGCUAUGAAGGUGCUUAUAGAUAAAAACGCAGAAAACAUAGUGGCUUCGGCGACACACUUUGCCAACAUAACUAUUGAACCAACAUGGUCAAUGAAAAAGGUUGAACAGUGCAUAUACAAAUGAAAUCUGGUGCUUGGAGCUGGAGUUGAACCAGGGACCUUUGGACCACAGCGUUUCAGGAACUUCUUACAGUCAUGUGCUCAACCAACUGAGCUAUGAAGGUGCUUAUAGAUGAAAACGCAGAAAACAUAGUGGCUUCGGCGACACACUUUGCCAAAACAACAAUCAAGCCACCUGGUCAAUGAAAAAGGAUGAACAGUGCAUAUACAAAUGAAAUCUGUUGCUUGGAGCUGGAGUUGAACCAGCGACCUUUGGACCACAGCGUUUCAGGAACUUCUUAAAGUCAUGUGCUCUACCAACUGAGCUAUGAAGGUGCUUAUAGAUAAAAACGCAGAAAACAUAGUGGCUUCGGCAACACACUUUGCCAAAACAACAAUCAAGCCACCUGGUCAAUGAAAAAGGUUGAACAGUGCAUAGACCAAUGAAAUCUGGUGUUUGGAGCAGGAGUUGAACCAGCGUCCUUUUGACCACAGCGUUUCAGGAACUUCUUAAAGUCAUGUGCUCUACCAACUGAGCUAUGAAGGUGCUUAUACAUAAAAACGCAGAAAACAUAGUGGCUUCGGCGACACACUUUGCCAACACAACAAUGAAGCCACCUGGUCAAUGAAAAAGGAUGAACAGUGCAUAUACAAAUGAAAUCUGGUGCUUGGAGCUGGAGUUGAACCAGGGACCUUUGGACCACAGCGUUUCAGGAACUUCUUACAGUCAUGUGCUCUACCAACUGAGCUAUGAAGGUGCUUAUAGAUGAAAACGCAGAAAACAUAGUGGCUUCGGCGACACACUUUGCCAACACAACAAUCAAGCCAUGUGGUCAAUGAAAAAGGUUGAACAGUGCAUAGACCAAUGAAAUCUGGUGUUUGGAGCAGGAGUUGAACCAGCGACCUUUGAACCAGAGCGUUUCAAGAACUUCUUAAAGUCAUGUGCUCUACCAAAUGAGCUAUGAAGGUGCUUAUAGAUAAAAACGCAGAAAACAUAGUGGCUUCGGCGACACACUUUGCCAACAUAACUAUUGAACCAACAUGGUCAAUGAAAAAGGUUGAACAGUGCAUAGACCAAUGAAAUCUGGUGUUUGGAGCAGGAGUUGAACCAGCGUCCUUUGGACCACAGCAUUUCAGGAACUUCUUAAAGUCAUGUGCUCUACCAACUGAGCUAUGAAGGUGCUUAUAGAUAAAAACGCAGAAAACAUAGUGGCUUCGGCGACACACUUUGCCAACAUAACUAUUGAACCAACAUGGUCAAUGAAAAAGGUUGAACAGUGCAUAGACCAAUGAAAUCUGGUGUUUGGAGCUGGAGUUGAACCAGCGUCCUUUGGACCACAGCGUUUCAGGAACUUCUUAAAAUAAUGUGCUCUACCAACUGAGCUAUGAAGGUGCUUAUAGAUAAAAACGCAGAAAACAUAGUGGCUUCGGCGACACACUUUGCCAAAACAACAAUCAAGCCACCUGGUCAAUGAAAAAGGAUGAACAGUGCAUAUACAAAUGAAAUCUGUUGUUUGGAGCUGGAGUUGAACCAGCGACCUUUGGACCACAGCGUUUCAGGAACUUCUUAAAGUCAUGUGCUCUACCAUCUGAGCUAUGAAGGUGCUUAUAGAUAAAAACGCAGAAAACAUAGUGGCUUCGGUGACACACUUUGCCAAAACAACAAUCAAGCCACCUGGUCAAUGAAAAAGGAUGAACAGUGCAUAUACAAAUGAAAUCUGGUGCUUGGAGCUGGAGUUGAACCAGGGACCUUUGGACCACAGCGUUUCACGAACUUCUUACAGUCAUGUGCUCUACCAACUGAGCUGUGAAGGUGCUUAUAGAUGAAAACGCAGAAAACAUAGUGGCUUCGGCGACACACUUUGCCAAAACAACAAUCAAGCCACCUGGUCAAUGAAAAAGGAUGAACAGUGCAUAUACAAAUGAAAUCUGUUGCUUGGAGCUGGAGUUGAACCAGCGACCUUUGGACCACAGCGUUUCAGGAACUUCUUAAAGUCAUGUGCUCUACCAACUGAGCUAUGAAGGUGCUUAUAGAUAAAAACGCAGAAAACAUAGUGGCUUCGGCGACACACUUUGCCAACACAACAAUCAAGCCACCUGGUCAAUGAAAAAGGUUGAACAGUGCAUAGACCAUUGUAAUCUGGUGUUUGGAGCAGGAGUUGAACCAGCGACCUUUGGACCACAGCGUUUCAGGAACUUCUUACAGUCAUGUGCUCUACCAACUGAGCUAUGAAGGUGCUUAUAGAUAAAAACGCAGAAAACAUAGUGGCUUCGGCGACACACUUUGCCAACAUAACUAUUGAACCAACAUGGUCAAUGAAAAAGGAUGAACAGUGCAUAUACAAAUGAAAUCUGGUGCUUGGAGCAGGAGUUGAACCAGCGUCCUUUGGACCACAGCGUUUCAGGAACUUCUUCAAGUCAUGUGCUCUACCAACUGAGCUAUGAAGGUGCUUUUAGAUACAACCGCAGAAAACAUAGUGGCUUCGGCGACACACUUUGCCAACACAACAAUCAAGCCACCUGGUCAAUGAAAAAAGAUGAACAGUGCAUAUACAAAUGAAAUCUGGUGCUUGGAGCUGGAGUUGAACCAGCAACCUUUGGACAACAGCAUUUCAGGAACUUCUUAAAGUCAUGUGCUCUACUAACUGAGCUAUGAAGGUGCUUAUAGAUAAAAACGCAGAAAACAUAGUGGCUUCGGCGACACACUUUGCCAACAUAACUAUUGAACCAACAUGGUCAAUGAAAAAGGUUGAACAGUGCGUAGACCAAUGAAAUCUGGUGUUUGGAGCAGGAGUUGAACCAGCGUCCUUUGGACCACAGCGUUUCAGGAACUUCUUAAGGUCAUGUGCUCUACCAACUGAGCUAUGAAGGUACUUAUAGAUAAAAUCGCAGAAAACAUAGUGGCUUCGGCGACACACUUUGCCAAAACAACAAUCAAGCCACCUGGUCAAUGAAAAAGGAUGAACAGUGGAUAUACAAAUGAAAUCCGGUGCUUGGAGCUGGAGUUGAACCAGCGACCUUUGGACCACAGCAUUUCAGGAACUUCUUAAAGUCAUGUGCUCUACCAACUGAGCUAUGAAGGUGCUUAUAGAUAAAAACGCAGAAAACAUAGUGGCUUCGGCGACACACUUUGCCAACAUAACUGUUGAACCAACAUGGUCAAUGAAAAAGGUUGAACAGUGCAUAGACCAAUGAAAUCUGGUGUUUGGAGCAGGAGUUGAACCAGCGUCCUUUGGACCACAGCGUUUCAGGAACUUCUUAAAGUCAUGUGCUCUACCAACUGAGCUAUGAAGGUGCUUUUAGAUACAACCGCAGAAAACAUAGUGGCUUCGGCGACACACUUUGCCAACACAACAAUCAAGCCACCUGGUCAAUGAAAAAGGAUGAACAGUGCAUAUACAAAUGAAAUCUGGUGCUUGGAGCUGGAGUUGAACCAGGGACCUUUGGACCACAGCGUUUCAGGAACUUCUUACAGUCAUGUGCUCUACCAACUGAGCUAUGAAGGUGCUUAUAGAUGAAAACGCAGAAAACAUAGUGGCUUCGGCGACACACUUUGCCAAAACAACAAUCAAGCCACCUGGUCAAUGAAAAAGGAUGAACAGUGCAUAUACAAAUGAAAUCUGUUGCUUGGAGCUGGAGUUGAACCAGCGACCUUUGGACCACAGCGUUUCAGGAACUUCUUAAAGUCAUGUGCUCUACCAACUGAGCUAUGAAGGUGCUUAUAGAUAAAAACGCAGAAAACAUAGUGGCUUCGGCGACACACUUUGCCAAAACAACAAUCAAGCCACCUGGUCAAUGAAAAAGGUUGAACAGUGCAUAGACCAUUGAAAUCUGGUGUUUGGAGCAGGAGUUGAACCAGCGACCUUUGGACCACAGCGUUUCAGGAACUUCUUACAGUCAUGUGCUCUACCAACUGAGCUAUGAAGGUGCUUAUAGAUAAAAACGCAGAAAACAUAGUGGCUUCGGCGACACACUUUGCCAAAACAACAAUCAAGCCACCUGGUCAAUGAAAAAGGAUGAACAGUGCAUAUACAAAUGAAAUCCGGUGCUUGGAGCUGGAGUUGAACCAGCGACCUUUGGACCACAGCGUUUCGGGAACUUCUUAAAGUCAUGUGCUCUACCAACUGAGCUAUGAAGGUGCUUAUAGAUCAAAACGCAGAAAACAUAGUGGCUUCGGCGACACACUUUGCCAACAUAACUAUUGAACCAACAUGGUCAAUGAAAAAGGUUGAACAGUGCAUAGACCAAUGAAAUCUGGUGUUUGGAGCUGGAGUUGAACCAGCGUCCUUUGGACCACAGCGUUUCAGGAACUUCUUAAAGUCAUGUGCUCUACCAACUGAGCUAUGAAGGUGCUUAUAGAUACAAACGCAGAAAACAUAGUGGCUUCGGCGACACACUUUGCCAACAAUACAAUUGGACCCACAUGGUCAAUGAAAAAGGAUGAACAGUGCAUAUACAAAUGAAAUCUGGUGCUUGGAGCUGGAGUUGAACCAGGGACCUUUGGACUACAGCGUUUCAGGAACUUCUUACAGUCAUGUGCUCUACCAACUGAGCUAUAAAGGUGCUUAUAAAUGAAGACGCAGAAAACAUAGUGGCUUCGGCGACACACUCUGCCAACACAACAAUCAAGCCACCUGGUCAAUGAAAAAGGUUGAACAGUGCAUAGACCAAUGAAAUCUGGUGUUUGGAGCAGGAGUUAAACAGCGACCUUUGAACCAGAGCGUUUCAAGAACUUCUUAAAGUCAUGUGCUCUACCAAAUGAGCUAUGAAGGUGCUUAUAGAUAAAAACGCAGAAAACAUAGUGGCUUCGGCGACACACUUUGCCAACAUAACUAUUGAACCAACAUGGUCAAUGAAAAAGUUUGAACAGUGCAUAGACAAAUGAAAUCUGGUGUUUGGAGCUGGAGUUGAACCAGUGUCCUUUGGACCAGAGCGUUUCAAGAACUUCUUAAACACAUGUGCUCUACCAACUGAGCUAUGAAGGUGCUUAUAGAUAAAAACGCAGAAAACAUAGUGGCUUCGGCGACACACUUUGCCAACAUAACUAUUGAACCAACAUGGUCAAUGAAAAAGUUUGAACAGUGCAUAGACAAAUGAAAUCUGGUGUUUGGAGCUGGAGUUGAACCAGUGUCCUUUGGACCACAGCGUUUAAGGAUCUUCUUAAAGUCAUGUGCUCUACCAACUGAGCUAUGAAGGUGCUUAUAGAUAAAAACGCAGAAAACAUAGUGGCUUCGGCGACACACUUUGCCAAAACAACAAUCAAGCCACCUGGUCAAUGAAAAAGGAUGAACAGUGCAUAUACAAAUGAAAUCUGGUGCUUGGAGCUGGAGUUGAACCAGCGACCUUUGGACCACAGCGUUUCAGGAACUUCUUAAACACAUGUGCUCUACCAACUGAGCUAUGAAGGUGCUUAUAGAUAAAAACGCAGAAAACAUAGUGGCUUCGGCGACACACUUUGCCAACAAUACAAUUGGACCCACAUGGUCAAUGAAAAAGGUUGAACAGUGCUUAGACAAAUGAAAUCUGGUGUUUGGAGCAGGAGUUGAACCAGCGACCUUUGGACCACAGCGUUUCGGGAACUUCUUAAAGUCAUGUGCUCUACCAACUGAGCUAUGAAGGUGCUUAUAGAUAAAAACGCAGAAAACAUAGUGGCUACGGCGACACACUUUGCCAAAACAACAAUCGAGCCACCUGGUCAAUGAAAAAGGAUGAACAGUGCAUAUACAAAUGAAAUCUGGUGCUUGGAGCUGGAGUUGAACCAGCGACCUUUGGACCACAGCGUUUUAGGAACUUCUUAAAGUCAUGUGCUCUACCAACUGAGCUAUGAAGAUGCUUAUAGUUAAAAACGCAGAAAACAUUGUGGCUUCGGCGAAACACUUUGCCAACAUAACUAUUGAACCAACAUGGUCAAUGAAAAAGGUUGAACAGUGCAUAGACCAAUGAAAUGUGGUGUUUGGAGCAGGAGUUGAAACAGCUUCCUUUGGACCACAGCGUUUCAGGAACUUCUUAAAGUCAUGUGCUCUACCAACUGAGCUAUGAAGGUGCUUAUAGACACAAACGCAGAAAACAUAGUGGCUUCGGCGACACACUUUGCCAACAAUACAAUUGGACCCACAUGGUCAAUGAAAAAGGUUGAACAGUGCAUAGACCAAUGAAAUCUGGUGUUUGGAGCAGGAGUUGAACCAGCGACCUUUGGACCACAGCGUUUCAGGAACUUCUUAAAGUCAUGUGCUCUACCAACUGAGCUAUGAAGGUGCUUAUAGAUACAAACGCAGAAAACAUAGUGGCUUCGGCGACACACUUUGCCAACAUAACUAUUGAACCAACAUGGUCAAUGAAAAAGGUUGAACAGUGCAUAUACAAAUGAAAUCUGGUGUUUGGAGCUGGAGUUGAACCAGCGACCUUUGGACCACAGCGUUUCAGGAACUUCUUAAAGUCAUGUGCUCUACCAACUGAGCUAUGAAGGUGCUUAUAGAUAAAAACGCAGAAAACAUAGUGGCUUCGGCGACACACUUUGCCAACAUAACUAUUGAACCAACAUGGUCAAUGAAAAAGGAUGAACAGUGCAUACACCAAUGAAAUCUGGUGUUUGGAGCUGGAGUUGAACCAGUGUCCUUUGGACCACAGCGUUUAAGGAACUUCUUAAAGUCAUGUGCUCUACCAACUGAGCUAUGAAGGUGCUUAUAGAUAAAAACGCAGAAAACAUAGUGGCUUCGGCGACACACUUUGCCAUCAAUACACUUGGACCCACAUGGUCAAUGAAAAAGGUUGAACAGUGCUUAGACAAAUGAAAUCUGGUGUUUGGAGCAGGAGUUGAACCAGCAACCUUUGGAACACAGCAUUUCAGGAACUUCUUAAAGUCAUGUGCUCUACCAACUGAGCUAUGAAGGUGCUUAUAGAUAAAAACGCAGAAAACAUAGUGGCUUCGGCGACACACUUUGCCAAAACAACAAUCAAGCCACCUGGUCAAUGAAAAAGGAUGAACAGUGCAUAUACAAAUGAAAUCUGGUGCUUCGAGCUGGAGUUGAACCAGGGACCUUUGGACCACAGCGUUUCAGGAACUUCUUACAGUCAUGUGCUCUACCAACUGAGCUAUGAAGGUGCUUAUAGAUGAAAACGCAGAAAACAUAGUGGCUUCGGCGACACACUUUGCCAACACAACAAUCAAGCCACCUGGUCAAUGAAAAAGGUUGAACAGUGCAUAAAUCAAUGAAAUCUGGUGUUUGGAGCAGGAGUUGAACCAGCAACCUUUGGACCACAGCAUUUCAGGAACUUCUUAAAGUCAUGUGCUCUACCAACUGAGCUAUGAAGGUGCUUAUAGAUAAAAACGCAGAAAACAUAGUGGCUUCGGCGACACACUUUGCCAACAUAACUAUUGAACCAACAUGGUCAAUGAAAAAGGAUGAACAGUGCAUACACCAAUGAAAUCUGGUGUUUGGAGCUGGAGUUGAACCAGCGUCCUUUGGACCACAGCGUUUAAGGAACUUCUUAAAGUCAUGUGCUCUACCAACUGAGCUAUGAAGGUGCUUAUAGAGACAACCGCAGAAAACAUAGUGGCUUCGGCGACACACUUUGCCAACAUAACUAUUGAACCAACAUGGUCAAUGAAAAAGGUUGAACAGUGCAUACACCAAUGAAAUCUGGUGCUUGGAGCUGGAGUUGAACCAGGGACCUUUGGACCACAGCGUUUCAGGAA